This 406-nucleotide ribosomal RNA is filed under the name uncultured bacterium. Its description in RNAcentral is "partial 16S ribosomal RNA". It matches the Rfam family "Bacterial small subunit ribosomal RNA", at positions 29 to 526 of the family's 1533-position model. The record is from RNAcentral.
AUUGAACGCUGGCGGCAGGCCUAACACAUGCAAGUCGAGCGAGCGGCGGACGGGUGAGUAAUGUCUGGGAAACUGCCUGAUGGAGGGGGAUAACUACUGGAAACGGUAGCUAAUACCGCAUACCAUCAGAUGUGCCCAGAUGGGAUUAUCUAGUAGGUGGGGUAACGGCUCACCAAGGCCACGAUGCAUAGCCGACCUGAGAGGGUGAUCGGCCACACUGGGACUGAGACACGGCCCAGACUCCUACGGGAGGUAGCAGUGGGGAAUAUGGCACAAUGGGCGCAAGCCUGAUGCAGCCAUGCCGCGUGUGUGAAGAAGGCCUUCGGGUUGUAAAGCACUUUCAGCGGGGAGGCGUUACCCGCAGAAGAAGCACCGGCUAACUCCGUGCCAGCAGCCGCGGUAAUAC